UUUCGCAAUGCCCGAAAGGGUGACGAAGCGACGCCGCGUGUGGGAAGAAGGCCUUCGGGUUGUAAACCACUGUCGGGAGUUAAGAAAUGCAAGGGUGUUAAUAGCAUCCUUGCUUGACUAAGGCUCCGGAGGAAGCCACGGCUAACUCUGUGCCAGCAGCCGCGGUAAUACAGAGGCGGCAAGCGUUGUUCGGAAUUAUUGGGCGUAAAGAGCACGUAGGCGGCCUUGUAAGUCAGUUGUGAAAGCCUUCUGCUUAACGGAAGAACAGCAGCUGAUACUGCAAGGCUAGAGUGCGGAAGGGGAGAGUGGAACUUCUGGUGGAGCGGUGAAAUGCGUAGAUAUCAGAAGGAACACCGGCGGCGAAGGCGACUCUCUGGUCCGUAACUGACGCUGAGUGUGCGAAAGCUAGGGGAGCAAACGGGAUUAGAUACCCCGGUAGUCCUAGCCGUAAACGAUGGGCACUAAGUAGAGGGGUUUUA
Molecule: ribosomal RNA, 479 nt
Filed under: uncultured bacterium
Lineage: Bacteria
Description: bacterial SSU rRNA
Rfam family: Bacterial small subunit ribosomal RNA
Source: RNAcentral